RNAcentral lists this non-coding RNA (45 nucleotides) under Schistosoma japonicum. Lineage: Eukaryota; Metazoa; Platyhelminthes; Trematoda; Strigeidida; Schistosomatidae. RNAcentral also lists the same sequence under 1 other name. The record is from RNAcentral.
AUCCAGCCGAUGAGUCUCAAAAAGGACGAAACGCGCGUCCUGGAU